Molecule: unclassified non-coding RNA, 343 nt
Filed under: soil metagenome
Description: partial contains 5.8S ribosomal RNA, internal transcribed spacer 2, and large subunit ribosomal RNA
Rfam family: 5.8S ribosomal RNA (bases 1-120)
Source: RNAcentral
GAUGAAGAACGCAGCGAAAUGCGAUACGUAAUGUGAAUUGCAGAAUUCAGUGAAUCAUCGAGUUUUUGAACGCAUAUUGCGCCCUCUGGUAUUCCGGGGGGCAUGCCUGUUCGAGCGUCAUUAAAUAACCCUCAAGCAUAGCUUGGUGUUGGGCUUUUUUACGUCCUUGACUGGGAUGGGCCUAAAAAUUAGUGGCGAUGGCUUUUUUACUUUCAAGCGUAGUAAAUCUCGUCUUGCUAAAGAGGAAAAAGAUUUUUUUUCUGCCAAAAAUUUUAACAUUUAAAGUUGACCUCGGAUCAGGUAGGAUUACCCGCUGAACUUAAGCAUAUCAAUAAGCGGAGGA